GGAUUUCCAAUCCGGAGACGGCGGGUUCGAUUCCCGUUCGGGUCGGAAAAUUUUCUCGACUCCCUGGGCAUAGAGUAUCAUUGUACUUGCCUCACAAUAUACAAAUUCAUGCAAUGGCAGGCAAAGAAAGCCCUUCAAUUAAUAACUGUGGAAGUGCACAAAGAACACUAAGUUGAAGCGAGGCAAGCCAAGUCCCAGUGCGGACGUAGAGCCAUAAAGAAGAAGAAGAAGAAGAAGAUAUGUAUGCUGCUUCGAAGUCUGCCGCCGUCGUUCGAUGGUCUAGUAACAGCUCUGGACAGUCGGGCAGAUGACGACAUUUCGCUCGAUGUUGUAAAAUCGAAGCUCGUCGAUGAGUACAACCGACAGCUGGAAAGAAGAGGUGGAUCUGUUGGGGGAGAAAGGGCCAUGCGAUCCACGGAAGGUAAGUCGGGGGGAGAUCCUCGAGUUUGCCAUUUCUGCAAAAACGUUGGCCAUAUCAAGCGGAACUGCCGUAAGUUCCUAGCAAUGCUGAAGGAGGAAGCGGAUACUUCCUGCACCAGUUGCGGCGAAUGCGGAAAGGCCAAAACCGCCCAAAGUGAUACGCGAAGUGUUGCAUUCACCGUCGGAGAAGAGAAUUUCAAUCGCUGGGUGAUUGACAGUGGCGCAAGUGCGCAUAUGUGUAAGGACAGAUCAUGCUUCGAAUCGUUGGAAGAAUUUUCUGGGGGUAACAUCAUUCUUGCGGAUGGGAAAACAAGUGAAGUUCAAGGUGAAGGACAAGUUGUAGUGCAAGGCAUUGAUGGUUCUGGCGAAACCGUUAAUAUUACCAUGAACAAAGUGAAGUUUGUACCCGAACUAACCACGAACUUGAUCUCUGUUGGACAACUGGUUCAGAAAAACUACAAAGUGUCUUUUGCCAAUGAAACAUGCGACAUAGUGAAUACUGAUGGUGAAGUUGUUGCAACUGGAUCUCGACGUGGCAAACUGUAUUACCUCAACAUGGUGCAGGUUUCGUUGGCCGCGAUGGAUGGUCGGAGCCACCGGCAGGAACGACCUGCUUACCGAUCCAAGGCUGCUGUCAAGCAAAUCGUGGACGAGCGAUUGGCUACGGGAGUCAAGAUGAAUAGCGGUUUGGAAUCGAUCCUGCGAUCAAGGAAAGGACUCGAAGUUUACUGCAAAGCUAAACAAGUUAAGUCAAGUUCCGGUUACAACAAUCGUCGUUGCGGAAUGCGGGAGUUCGAAACGGAAUUUCGACGGCCGAAUGGCUUCGAGGGUUCUACAAGGCAUGUCACAGGACCGGACGAUCUCACCGAGACGUUGGAUGAUCCUGUAUGGUUCGACACAAUCGACGACGAAGCUAGAUUGUUCUGAGGAAGAGCUGUUACAUUGAGGGGGAGUGUGGGAAUCUACAAUGUUAAUCUCUUCCAAUAAUUAAAUUACUUGUGUCUAACCCUGCCACACGCAUUCCCCUUGAUACUGGUGUGCGCGUCCAAACAUGUAAAGAACAUUUUUAUAUGAACGCAAUCAUUCGAUCGCUCGCGACCAGUCAGAGCUGUACUUUCGUGCUAAUUAAACCUAAGUUCGUUUUUCCUAAGUAAUCGCGUUUGUUAUUUCUCCACCAUACUCCGAAACACCUUUGGGCAUUCCGCUGUUGCACCUUGGAUUCUGCCAACAAUACUUAAAUAUUUCAAUAAAGCUUCCGGAACUUUACCCAUGGCAUAUUGUUGAUUGAGAUGUACAGUUGCUGUAUGCAUACAGUUGUCGUUUGCAUAAUUGUCCAAGCGCUUUCAAUAAUAUCAAAGAAAGCGACACAGUUAUGCCUAGAACGUUAGUGUAUAGACGAGACUCUAUCAUUGCUGUUUUUAAUUGCUUUUAUCUAUCUAUCGAAUCAACGUAGAUAUGUAGGUUGAAUCUGCACAAACGAAAAGUUGUUUGAUAUGAACACUGUUGUGGCGUAGAAUUUCGUCGGCACUGUUGUUAUCGUGUAUUUACCUGCGGGCAAAAACAACUCCACCAGAUUCACAAUAAUUUUCAAAAGCAAAUGUUUGCAUCCAGUUCGAUUGUGCAAGUUCCACACAUAAAUGGUGAUAUCAGAUAAGGUUGGUAGAGACGAUAUCUUUCUUAUGUGAAUUCGGGGUAACAUGUUGUUAAUAGAAAUGUUAUUUCAAAUAGUGCAUGUAUUUUGCGAUCUUAUGGAAACUUUGUAGUUCUUCUAAAUAUUAUCUGAAACGUAUGAAGCAAAACUCUAAACUUCGAGGUUAGUAUAUGUUUGGAUCUUGAGUGAAAUUUCAAAUGUUAUGCAAAACUUAGCUGAAUAUAAGCCUUCCAACAAUGACUCCAUUUUUAAAGCUAAAUAUAAUAUUAUCAUUGAUUGAGUAACACAUAUCGUUCGAGGAACCACAAUUUGAACAACCUAUUUUUCGGCUGGUCGAAAUGUGACAGAGCGCGUUAGACAAGCUAAGUGUUCCAAACGUCACAAGGCGAGCAGUGCUGUUUGCACAACUUAUCCCUGGCAGAUAAGGAAGACAAGACCAAAAAUUGAUAACGGUUGUUCCUUGUAGUUAGGGUUCCAUUUGUGCUUCAGUAACAAAUGUAUUGUACCGUGUAGGCUACGUCAGUUGAAUUGAUAACGAACCAAAUUACAGAAAAGUGUCUGCUGUUCACCGCUGACUUCCAGCAACUGCUGAUGAAUGAAAUAAUAUAUUGUGAUUUUAAAAUAGAUUGCUGCAAUGCUGCAAGCAUGGUUUUAUCGAAAAGAAAAUUGCACACCGAGGGAAUGAUUCCGAAUUUCCGGACGAUCGCGUACAGUGCUACAAAAUAUGGAAUACGGGGGAUGAUGGGAUCCCUGAGUGAUGAACUGUUCUUCAACGGAUUUGGUGACACAAUUUUCACUACAUGUGUUUAUCCC
RNA transcript from Aedes albopictus (Asian tiger mosquito), 2884 nucleotides. RefSeq lists it as uncharacterized. NCBI's taxonomy places the organism in Eukaryota, Metazoa, Arthropoda, Insecta, Diptera, Culicidae. The transcript has 2 exons. The record is from RefSeq and is a predicted model, not a curated record.